This 439-nucleotide ribosomal RNA is filed under the name uncultured Alphaproteobacteria bacterium. RNAcentral describes it as "bacterial SSU rRNA". It matches the Rfam family "Bacterial small subunit ribosomal RNA", at positions 29 to 509 of the family's 1533-position model. The record is from RNAcentral. Lineage: Bacteria; Pseudomonadati; Pseudomonadota; Alphaproteobacteria.
AACGAACGCUGGCGGCAGGCCUAACACAUGCAAGUCGAGCGGGCAUCCUUCGGGAUGUUAGCGGCGGACGGGUGAGUAACGCGUGGGAACGUGCCCUUUGCUACGGAAUAGCCUCGGGAAACUGAGAGUAAUACCGUAUGUGCCCUUCGGGGGAAAGAUUUAUCGGCAAAGGAUCGGCCCGCGUUGGAUUAGGUAGUUGGUGGGGUAAUGGCCUACCAAGCCGACGAUCCAUAGCUGGUUUGAGAGGAUGAUCAGCCACACUGGGACUGAGACACGGCCCAGACUCCUACGGGAGGCAGCAGUGGGGAAUCUUAGACAAUGGGGGAAACCCUGAUCUAGCCAUGCCGCGUGAGCGAUGAAGGCCUUAGGGUUGUAAAGCUCUUUCAGUGGAGAAGAUAAUGACGGUACCCACAGAAGAAGCCCCGGCUAACUCCGUGCC